Molecule: ribosomal RNA, 1068 nt
Filed under: uncultured Gallionella sp.
Lineage: Bacteria; Pseudomonadati; Pseudomonadota; Betaproteobacteria; Nitrosomonadales; Gallionellaceae
Description: bacterial SSU rRNA
Rfam family: Bacterial small subunit ribosomal RNA
Source: RNAcentral
AUUCCUACGGGAGGCAGCAGUGGGGAAUUUUGGACAAUGGACGCAAGUCUGAUCCAGCCAUUCCGCGUGCAGGAUGAAGGCCCUCGGGUUGUAAACUGCUUUUGGACGGAACGAAAAGCCGCUUUCUAAUACAAGGCGGUUAUGACGGUACCGGAAGAAGAAGCACCGGCUAACUGCGUGCCAGCAGCCGCGGUAAUACGUAGGGUGCGAGCGUUAAUCGGAAUUACUGGGCGUAAAGCGUGCGCAGGCGGUUUGGUGAGACAGACGUGAAAUCCCCGGGCUUAACCUGGGAACUGCGUUUGUGACUGUCAGACUAGAGUGUAGCAGAGGGGGGUAGAAUUCCACGUGUAGCAGUGAAAUGCGUAGAUAUGUGGAGGAAUACCAAUGGCGAAGGCAGCCCCCUGGGUUAACACUGACGCUCAUGCACGAAAGCGUGGGGAGCAAACAGGAUUGGAUACCCUGGUAGUCCACGCCCUAAACGAUGUCAACUAGGUGUUGGGGAAGGAGACUUCUUUAGUACCGCAGCUAACGCGUGAAGUUGACCGCCUGGGGAGUACGGUCGCAAGAUUAAAACUCAAAGGAAUUGACGGGGACCCGCACAAGCGGUGGAUUAUGUGGAUUAAUUCGAUGCAACGCGAAAAACCUUACCUACCCUUGACAUGUCAGGAAGAUUCCAGAGAUGGGAUUGUGCCCGAAAGGGAACCUGAACACAGGUGCUGCAUGGCUGUCGUCAGCUCGUGUCGUGAGAUGUUGGGUUAAGUCCCGCAACGAGCGCAACCCUUGUCAUUAAUUGCCAUCAUUUAGUUGGGCACUUUAAUGAGACUGCCGGUGAUAAACCGGAGGAAGGUGGGGAUGACGUCAAGUCCUCAUGGCCCUUAUGGGUAGGGCUUCACACGUAAUACAAUGGUCGGUACAGAGGGUUGCCAACCCGCGAGGGGGAGCCAAUCCCAGAAAGCCGAUCGUAGUCCGGAUUGUAGUCUGCAACUCGACUACAUGAAGUCGGAAUCGCUAGUAAUCGCGGAUCAGCAUGUCGCGGUGAAUACGUUCCCGGGCCUUGUACACACCGCC